Molecule: long non-coding RNA, 1307 nt
Organism: Papaver somniferum (opium poppy)
Lineage: Eukaryota; Viridiplantae; Streptophyta; Magnoliopsida; Ranunculales; Papaveraceae
Exons: 4
Source: RefSeq, a predicted model, not a curated record
GCAUGUGGGGGGUGGGGGUCAAGAAACGGUGUUAGGAAUGCACACUGUUUCCGUUUUCGAUCUGUACAGUUUCUGUGCUUGAAGUGGAAACUCUCAAUACGUGCUCAAGGCUAUGAUUUCAACAAUUCUAUGCUGACUUAUGUGCUUACUGUUGUGCAGGGAAAAUAAUUAAAGCGGCUGAAAGAUGAGGCACAGAAGGAGCAAAAUAUUGUGAGAAAGAAGAAGCUAAAAUGAUAUCAAGAAGCAACUGGAGUAGUUGUCGGAAGCACAAGAAAGACGAGAGAUACGACAUAACUGAUUUCAGAAAGUUACAAGGCAGGCAAUAUUGAUGCAACACUUACUUAAAAGUAAAAAGGAUAAUCUGUCUUCAGGACUCACGUGUUAUGACUAACCCCAGAAUUAGCUUAUGUGAAUAAUGCCGUGGUUCCUUGGGAGGAAAUGCAAUCUGGAGGCCUCAUGUUGCUCUUGCAUUUGGCAAGGCGGUGUCAUCUGAACUUAUACGAAGGAGUAGUUGCUAUUCUCGACAUUCAGGACGGUGUCAAACAUGAUGAUAAAGCGAAUGGGGAAGUUGCUGCAUCUCUCAUUUGAGAGAUACUUGAGAGUAAGGAGAUAGAUAAAGAAGAUGAACAUGAAAAGCUUUCAGAAAUUUGGAUUGUCUUCAUUAAAAUAGAUGAGACAGAGAAGCGAUGACACUUGGGUAAUGAUAUUAGAGAAAGCAAAAAAUGAUUCCAUUUUGCAAACAGGGAGGACUAGGGAUAACUGGUUAUAGUAGAGAUUUGCGAUGGAAGACGGGAAAGAAAAUGAAGCAAGUGAAACCCGAUACUUUCUUGAUAUUAUACACUUGAUGUUAAACAGAAAUCAUAAGGAAUGGAAAAACUCUCUUCACUGAGCCAGGUUAAUACCGACUAUGAUAUGACUCCUUUUCCAGGCUUUAAAUUAGUACCCUCCAUUAUGCCGUGCUUGUUUCUGUGUGCUCGGCUCUUGUAUUUAUUGAUGUGGAAACAGUUCAUUUGGUUUGAUCUCAAUGGUGACAAACUUGCAUACAGGCACUGAAAAACUGCGGAAGCCGCAGUGACAUGACACAUAUAUAAGAGAGAUAUUGAGCUUUCUAGCUCAUGUCUAUUUUUUGGGCACCGAUACCGCAUCCCAGAAGUCGCUACAUUUCAAACUGCCAUGAUAAAUAGAUAAAUAAAUAGCGUGGGUUGCCUCAUUGAGUUCAAGAUACAGAAGGUGGUAACCCCUGGUGCAAGACGAACGAUUGACCUUGGGCACUGGGAGCCAGGGAAACAGGCUGCCUUGUAUGAUUA